UCACCUGUGCCUUGAUACAUGUGUGGAGC
Molecule: non-coding RNA, 29 nt
Filed under: Rattus norvegicus (Norway rat)
Lineage: Eukaryota; Metazoa; Chordata; Mammalia; Rodentia; Muridae
Source: RNAcentral